AGAGUUUGAUCCUGGCUCAGAACGAACGCUGGCGGCAGGCCUAACACAUGCAAGUCGAACGCUCCAGCAAUGGAGAGUGGCAGACGGGUGAGUAACACGUGGGAACCUUCCCUUUGGUUCGGAAUAGCCCAGGGAAACUUGGGGUAAUACCGGAUAAGCCCUUACGGGGAAAGAUUUAUCGCCGAAGGAUGGGCCCGCGUCGGAUUAGCUAGUUGGUGGGGUAACGGCCUACCAAGGCGACGAUCCGUAGCUGGUCUGAGAGGAUGAUCAGCCACACUGGGACUGAGACACGGCCCAGACUCCUACGGGAGGCAGCAGUGGGGAAUAUUGGACAAUGGGCGCAAGCCUGAUCCAGCCAUGCCGCGUGAGUGACGAAGGUCUUCGGAUUGUAAAGCUCUUUUGGCGGGGACGAUAAUGACGGUACCCGCAGAAUAGCCCCGCUCCCC
This 446-nucleotide ribosomal RNA is filed under the name uncultured Hyphomicrobium sp. RNAcentral's name for it is "bacterial SSU rRNA". It matches the Rfam family "Bacterial small subunit ribosomal RNA", at positions 8 to 502 of the family's 1533-position model. Lineage: Bacteria; Pseudomonadati; Pseudomonadota; Alphaproteobacteria; Hyphomicrobiales; Hyphomicrobiaceae. The record is from RNAcentral.